RNAcentral lists this long non-coding RNA (250 nucleotides) under Nicotiana benthamiana. RNAcentral's name for it is "long non-coding RNA (NBEN_LNC025888)". Lineage: Eukaryota; Viridiplantae; Streptophyta; Magnoliopsida; Solanales; Solanaceae. The record is from RNAcentral.
GGUCACGGUUGAGCCUAUUUGGAUUCAAUCUCAUCUCUUUUGUCCAUCGUAUACCUUAUCACCGAUGCUUCUCAAAACAGCCACAAGCUCGGAAGUGCUCAUAUUGAAAUUGUAACCACCAAAUCUCGCCUUCAAAUUUCUAUUUUCAUCUCGUGACCCAUGGGUGUUACGAUCAUUCCUAAAUCUUGAUGAAGAGCCUGACUCUCUAUUCCUUGAUCUGUGAUCAUACCUUUGAUUGUCCUAUUUUGAC